Ornithorhynchus anatinus (platypus) is the source of this 138-nucleotide small nucleolar RNA. The record is from RefSeq and is a predicted model, not a curated record. Lineage: Eukaryota; Metazoa; Chordata; Mammalia; Monotremata; Ornithorhynchidae.
CCCCUCUCAGGGUCACACCUGGAGAGUUUCCAGUCCUCUACCAGUCUCGGCUACGGGAGGGAGAGUCAAGCAGAGGCCUACCCAUUCCAUUCCCAACUUGGCCAGUGCCUAGCGAGUGGCAGACAUUCUGCUACAAGU